UACGGAGGGUGCAAGCGUUGUCCGGAUUUAUUGGGUUUAAAGGGUGCGUAGGCGGCCCGUUAAGUCCGUGGUGAAAGCCCACAGCUCAACUGUUGACCUGCCAUGGAUACUGACGGGCUUGAGUACAGACGAGGUAGGCGGAAUGGAUGUUGUAGCGGUGAAAUGCAUAGAUACCAUCCAGAACACCGAUUGCGUAGGCAGCUUACUAGGCUGUAACUGACGCUGAGGCACGAAAGCGUGGGGAGCGAACAGG
This 253-nucleotide ribosomal RNA is filed under the name uncultured bacterium. RNAcentral describes it as "partial 16S ribosomal RNA". It matches the Rfam family "Bacterial small subunit ribosomal RNA", at positions 524 to 776 of the family's 1533-position model. The record is from RNAcentral.